CUUCCGACUUUGUAUGGCAUCUUUCUGAAUUUCCUCGACCGUCCGAGCUUCCAUAAUACCAUCCGAACUUCUCCAAUAAUAAGCUCCCCCAUUCAUCUACCGGACUACUCCAAAUGUUCUCUGGGCUUCACUAUCAGUUAAUUUUCUAUAGUGAUCGACUAUUCUCCGAAUCUCUUCCAGACUUCUUCCGGCCACGAACGACUUUACUCCGAACUCCUCCCGGACUCCUACAGGAGCCGGACUCCAUCCGAACUUCUACAACGGAUGAAUUUCAGAUGAAUUCCUACAAAAGCUGGAUCUCUACCCCGAACUUUUAUUGUAGGUGGACUUCAUCCGAACUCCUACAAGGGCCGGGCUCCGUCUGAACUUCUACAGUGGAUGGAUCACAGAUGAGCUUCUACAACGAAUAGGCUCCACCAGCAGGAUCUCUACUCCGAACCUCUUCCAGACUUCAUCAAGGAUCGAGCUUCUCCAACGAUGGGACUUCUACAGUAAGCGGUCUACUCCGAACUUCUACGACAAUCGGUCUCCAUUCGGACUUCUACGGUAAGCAGACUCCUUCUGGACUCCUACAGGAAUCGGACUCUGUCUGAACUUUUACAGUGGUUGGAUUUUGGGCGAACUUCUACAACGGACGUGCUCCAGUAGUUGGAUUUCUAUAGUGACCGACUGUCUCUGGUGUCUUCCGUACCUCUCCAGCCAUCAACCUUCGACAGCGCCAGCCGACCUUCCAUAGAUUCAUCCAGUCUCCUCCAACGGAUGAACUUCCACAACGCCUCCCGAAUUACGCUAUCAGCCGACCUUCUGUCGGAUUUCUCAUGCAAUCGGACCUCUCUGACGGACAAUCUUCAGACGAGCUUCCGCAUCAGGCAAAUCUCAGACGAACUUCUCUGGCAAUCAGAUUUCUACCGAACUUCACCAACGAAAAGUCUCUAUCCGAGCUUCUACAGCAGAUGACUCCCGCCUGUAGCAUCAGCACCCAAGGUAUCUGACAACAGUAGACUCGUCAGCAACCUCGAAAAUAUUCGAGCUUCUUUCGGAUGGCUGAGAUAGAGAGCCAUUCCGCUUCAUCAGACGUCCCAGUCGAGCUUCAGCC
Molecule: long non-coding RNA, 1096 nt
Filed under: Elaeis guineensis (African oil palm)
Lineage: Eukaryota; Viridiplantae; Streptophyta; Magnoliopsida; Arecales; Arecaceae
Description: long non-coding RNA (EGUI_LNC066206)
Source: RNAcentral